Molecule: transfer RNA, 76 nt
Filed under: Candidatus Doudnaibacteriota bacterium
Lineage: Bacteria; Candidatus Doudnaibacteriota
Description: Candidatus Doudnabacteria bacterium tRNA-Thr
Rfam family: tRNA
About the family: Transfer RNA (tRNA) molecules are approximately 80 nucleotides in length. Their secondary structure includes four short double-helical elements and three loops (D, anti-codon, and T loops). Further hydrogen bonds mediate the characteristic L-shaped molecular structure. tRNAs have two regions of fundamental functional importance: the anti-codon, which is responsible for specific mRNA codon recognition, and the 3' end, to which the tRNAs corresponding amino acid is attached (by aminoacyl-tRNA synthetases). tRNAs cope with the degeneracy of the genetic code in two manners: having more than one tRNA (with a specific anti-codon) for a particular amino acid; and 'wobble' base-pairing, i.e. permitting non-standard base-pairing at the 3rd anti-codon position.
Source: RNAcentral
GCCGGCUUAGCUCAUCUGGUAGAGCAACGGUUUUGUAAACCGUAGGUGGCCGGUUCGAGUCCGGCAGCCGGCUCCA